GAGCCUGGGAGUCCGGGACACGCCGUGUGGACACCCUCGUGGACAUCUCAGUGGUAAGAGAGUGCUCUGGAAGUUCCUCCCCACCGACACCAUCCUCACCCAGAGGCUGACAGUCCAGGAAAGGUCACCACUUCUCAGUCCCCCGGCCUCCCACUCCAAUCUGGACUUCUCCCCUUACAGCUGGGUGUAGGGCUGUUGUUCCACGACUUCACUUUUGCCGUUUUUCUGCACUGGGUACCCAAAGGCCUCACAGCAGGGCUCCCGACUUCCCCACAAACACAGACACAUACUGUGGAGAAAGCCAGACUCCCGUCGGAUUCCACCGCCCACCUGCAGGACACCACAGAGUCCCCGAGGGGCAGACAUCUUUUCCGAAGCAGUCCUGCCACAUACAUGGCUCUCGGACCUACCCCCUCUCACCUUUUCUCCAUUUUUGUCUCCCUCCAUUUUUCCUCCCUCCCCCUUCUUUUCCUCUGGUGCUCCUUCCUUUAAAAUAGAAAAACAAACAAAAGCAGCCACCCUCUUGUUUAUCUGGAUGUGCUUCGUGUGCGCAGCUCAGGGACCUCCCCAGAAUGGUUUAUUAGGGCUUUUCUGUUCAGCUCCACUGCUGUACAGCAGAGGUAAUACAAUCAUGUCUCGGCUCCGUGU
Molecule: long non-coding RNA, 648 nt
Organism: Manis pentadactyla (Chinese pangolin)
Lineage: Eukaryota; Metazoa; Chordata; Mammalia; Pholidota; Manidae
Exons: 4
Source: RefSeq, a predicted model, not a curated record